GCAGGGACAAGGAUAGGACUGAAGAUAACAAGAAGUGGUGUUGCAAUGAUCAAACCUAUGACAGUUCCAGUGAGGAUCAACCCAGACAGGAUCAAGAAUGAGACACCAAUGGCUGAUGCUGUCAUGAACUUGAUGGCUUGGCGUAUAGGUUGGUUAGUACUGGGGUCAUAGGAGGUUCCAUAAGAUGAACCAUAGGUGCCUCCUCCACCAUAGGAUGAUCCAUAGGACCCUCCUCCUCCAUAGCCUGUCCUUGUUUGAUCAGACAUAAUGGUAAAUGGGUUUUGGUGGCUGGUGACUUUUGAGAAUUUUUAGACAAGAAGUGAUGGGGUUUGAGGAAGAGUGAGAGAGAAGUGAAGGGAAUGUAUAGCAAUGAAGGGAGGUUAAGCUGGCAAAAGGGGAGGGUGCAUUGCUGUGUCGUGGCGGCUUUGCAUGAAACUGAGGUGGAGGUGAUGCAACACCUGUCCCUUUAACUGACUGGUGUCUUCUAACACUGAUCACCAUACAUUGUUACAUUGUUACAUUGUUACAGGACCCUUUCUCUGCUGGGGACCAUGGCAUGCUUUCGAUAAUGGUAAUUUUGAUAUUUUUUAAUAGAGUUAUGUCUCCUUUUCUUUGAAAUAACUGUCUAUUUGGGAAAAAAAAUUCAUAACAUUAAUUAAUUAACGGCUUAAUUACUCUGAUGAGUAAACCAUAAAUAAGUACUUGGUUNNNNNNNNNNNNCUUUCUAAUUUAAAAAAAAAAAUCGACACAAUUGUAAUAAUAAUUAAAAAAAAAAAAGUUGCAUGGGAAUAUUGGCUUCAGAGAAGAAUCUUUUUGUGCUUGAGAAUUGAGAUAAGGCGAAAGACUUACAAAAGAAAAGUUAUUUUCAUGUCUUCUAUGAUUAAAUGAUGAUACAUUGUAUUUCCAAUUUUUAUGUUUAUACUUUAUAAUAUUUUAAGGCAUUUAUUAAUAUUAUAUUCAAUUAUGUAAAUGUUAGAUGUUUUUUACUUAAAACCUAAUAAAAAUAUCAUGUUUAAUAUGUUAGAGAAGUAUGUACGUUUAUAAAAUUAAACGUAAAUUUAAUUGUUAAUAUAGUUAUAAUAACAAGGCAUGAAAAUUAAUUUAUUAGUUAAAAGUUUACAUUACGUAUUAAAUAUACGAUUAUGAUUAAACUACAUGCGCGCGAUCUCUAUUAUUAAAAUACUAUUACGAUUGUUUUUAAGUACGUGAUAACGUCGUUGUUCGAACUGUAAUUUUGGUUUUACUCUCUCGUGUCAAUGCAAGAAAGCUGACGAAGCUUCUUUUAUAUAUUUCACAAGAGAACAACUAGGGAACCAAAAGCAUAUUAGCCAAAAACCAGCCAAAAUAUGUUUGGGUUCUAUGAAAAAUUGGGUUUUGGUUUGUGCUCCGUGAUCUCAGGAACAGUUUUCAAACAGAUUAUUCAAAAAGUGAUUCUAAUUAAACGGUUUUGUUUACUUUUUGGCUGAUCACUUUUUGGUUCCAUAUACUUUUCCAUUUCACAAAGAAUCUAUUCAUCGACGUUAGGCUGCGGAAAAAGAGCACUCGGACAAAUUGAAAUGGUAUAGAGAGAAUAUAAUUCAUUUUAUAGUUAUUUUUUAUUAUUUUAUUAUUAUUUAAAAUGUGGGUCUUACCUUUAUUAAUUUUUCUUUUAUUCUAUUAAAAAAAAUCUGUAAACUUAUAUUUUUACCAUAUAAUUCACCGCAAAAAACUACUUUGCAUGUUUUUCUUAAGACGCAUAAAGAGUAGUUGAGCUGAACACCAAAAGAAAAACUAUAUAAAAAUAAGUUUUUUUUCUUUACAAUUAAAUUCAAUCGGGUUGGCCUAAAUUCACAAAAACUAACCACGUAUAAACACAUACUUUUGCAACUGUUUAAUAGUGCGAACAUUAAUAUGAAAAACGAUUCUUCUCGUUCAAUCAAAACCUAAAGAUCAAAUUCAAAAUUUAUGCAAAAACUCAAGAAAAUCUUAAAGUUACGUUCCAAAUCUUCACCAAAAAACAUAGAAACAGAAGAUGAAAGAUUAUUGAAGGUAUUGUUCACUGGUCGUCCAGUUUUUUCACUUUUUUCUUUCGCAUUUUCGAUCACAAAACACUAGAUAGUCAUAUUGGUACGAAGAAUAAGAAGCGUAAUGCCAGGAUUAGCAGGAGAGACACAUAUUGCUUUUGUGAAAAGGAGAAAGAUACAUGAUAGAGUUUUGAUUGCUUGUGAGACUGUGCAGUGGCUGAAGACGAGGAAGAAGAGUUCAGCGAUAAUUAAGUUGGAUUUUCAAAAAGCAUAUGAUAGAGUCAAGUGGAGUUUUGUAGAUAUCGUCAUUCAAAAGAUGGAUUUUGGUAUUAGAUGGCGAAGAUGGGUCAAGGAGUGUAUUUGCUCGGCGUUUAUGUCGAUUCUGAUAAAUGGUUCACCAUCUAAAUCCUUUAGCAUGGAACGAAG
This 2429-nucleotide long non-coding RNA is filed under the name Arachis ipaensis. RNAcentral's name for it is "long non-coding RNA (AIPA_LNC001834)". Lineage: Eukaryota; Viridiplantae; Streptophyta; Magnoliopsida; Fabales; Fabaceae. The record is from RNAcentral.